Molecule: long non-coding RNA, 2324 nt
Filed under: Homo sapiens (human)
Lineage: Eukaryota; Metazoa; Chordata; Mammalia; Primates; Hominidae
Description: non-protein coding lnc-OR10AD1-1:1
Source: RNAcentral
GGAGAUGCGGACCUUGAGGCUUAGGAUCCCCUCCUAGCCGAGUGGAGUGGAGUGGGAAUGUCCAGAGCCCUGAACCUUCACGGAAGCCCCCGAGACACCUAUUAUUAGUGACUUCCUCUGAAAUAUUCAGUUUAACAUAUAGAAAUAUGGUUUAUCUAGGAGUGUUGUUGUUGUUUGGCUUAAAGCUGUCUGAAAUGGGUUUCUGUUUCUUGCAACUGAAGAGUCUUAGCUGAAGAGGCUUAACUAGGGCAACGAUGCUUCAGUGUGGUUAUGAGGAUUAAAUAACAUAAAGUAUUUCAAGCACUUCAGUUAGCACCUCCAGAAAUGUUUCUCCCCUCUUCCAACUGUUAACAGUAUCGCAUGUACCGAGACCAUCAGACUUACCUGUGUUUUGUACAUGCUCAAAAUAAGAGCCCAUUUUGCGGUCAGUUUUCUUUUCUUUUUAUUUAUUUAUGUAUUUAUGUAUUUAUUUAUUUUUUGAGUCGGAGACGGAGUUUCGCUCUUGUUGCCCAGGCUGGAGUGCAAUGGUAAGAUCUCGGCUCACCACAACCUCCGCGUCCCUGGUUCAAGAGAUUCUCCUGCCUCAGCCUCCCAAGUAGCUGGGAUUACAGGCAUGCGUCACCACUCCCGGCUAAUUUUGUAUUUUUAGUAGAGACGGGGUUUCUCCAUGUUGGUCAGGGUGGUCUCGAACUCCCGACCUCAGAUUAUCCGCCCCCCCCCCAACCCCGGCCUCCCAAAGUGCUGGGAUUACAGGCGUGAGCCACCUCGCCCAGCCAGUUUUCUUUUUUGCAAGUUUUUCCUCAUUCCAUCUUUCAGGUGGUGUUAUGAUUUAUGUUUUUUUUUUUGCUAUGUUUUAAAGUUUUGUUUGUUCCUGAAAGGAUUGAGUUAGUCAUACUCCUCAGUUCAUGGCAUACUAUCAUCAGACCAUGACAGUGAGGCCCUCUUGUUUUAUUUAUUUAUUUAUUUAUUUAUACCCUUCAAGUCCCAUUUUCUCACUACAAUAGGCAAUUUUCUAAUGUGCUUAAUGUGGAUAUUUCCAUUUAUGUGUUUUCUAAACAUAGUUAUUAUUUCGUGAGCAUGCAUUAUUAAAUGUACUUCAAACCUACUGAGAUAUUUGUCUCAUUACUUAUAUUUGUUUAACCUAAGCACUGUUUUUUGGCUCCAUCCACGUUGCCAGAUGUUAAUAUUUAAUCUGUUACUUCACAUUGAUGCCUAAUAGUCCGCGGUAUGCAUCUGUCCACUCUUCCAUUGAUGAGCUCCCAUGCUGCUUCCAACUCCAUGCUACUACAAAUAACCCUGCAUUGAAUCCCCUUGUGAACUUGUAAAUAAUUUGUUUUAUGUUACUUAGGGGAGGAAUUGCUGCUGGGCUACUGGGUAUAAAUCUGUUUAAUGUGUCCGAGUAAUGCCAUAUCGCUUUCCAAAAGUGGUGGAACCAAUCUUGCAGCAGUGCAAGAUUCUGUAUUUCCACGUCUGACAACACUUGCAAUUUUUCUUUUUCUUUUCUUUUCUUUUUUUUUUUUCUUUUUGAGGCAGAGUCUCACUCUGCUGUCUAGGCUGGGGUGCAGUGGUGUAAUUAUGGCUCACUGCAGCCUCCCAGGCUCAACCGAUCCUCCUGCUUCAACCUCCUGAGUAGCUGGGACUAUAGGCACAUGCCACCAUGCCCAACUAAUUUUUUAAUUUUUUUGUAGAAAUAGGAUCCCACUGUGUUGCCCAGGCUGGUCUCAAACUCCUGGGGUCAAGUAGUUCUCCUGCUUUGGCCUCCCAAAGUGCUGGGAUUACAAGCAUGAGCCACUGCACCCAGCCAACAUGUGCUAUUUUCUAGAUUUCUAAUCACUGGUUUGAUAGGAAUAAAGUGAUAUCUCAUUAUUUGUUUAAUUUGCAUUUGAUUACUAAUGUAAAUUUCCAUAUAUUUAUUAGCUUUCUCCUCUGCAAUUAAUUGCCUGUUCAUAUUCUUUGCUUCUUUUUUUUAAAUUGGGUUGCUUUUUCCUGUUCAUUUGCAGGCGUUCCUUACAUAUUUUAGGGUGAUAUUACACUGUUGUCAGUUUUAGACAAAGCAAAUAUAUUCUCCAUUCUGCCAUCUGCCCGUUAACUUCGUUAAUGAUGCCCUUUAUGGAACAGAAAUCCUUAAUUUUUUAAUAAUGAAGCUCCCCAGCUUUUGCUUUAUGACUUGCGCUUUUAAAACGUUGAAAUAUGGGUACCACUUUCUUAGUUGUGCUUAUUCUCUGCCAGAUAUCUCCAAAUCUGAAUUCACUGGUGAGGUCUCUAGGCAUUCCAUUCACUCCUCUUCACUGAAUUCCAAAGUCACUGUUCUGACUGAAUUUAAC